Molecule: ribosomal RNA, 301 nt
Filed under: uncultured bacterium
Lineage: Bacteria
Description: partial 16S ribosomal RNA
Rfam family: Bacterial small subunit ribosomal RNA
Source: RNAcentral
CAGUCGCCGCGGUAAUACAGAGGGUGCAAGCGUUAAUCGGAAUUACUGGGCGUAAAGCGCGCGUAGGUGGUUUGUUAAGUUGGAUGUGAAAGCCCCGGGCUCAACCUGGGAACUGCAUCCAAAACUGGCAAGCUAGAGUACGGUAGAGGGUGGUGGAAUUUCCUGUGUAGCGGUGAAAUGCGUAGUUAUAGGAAGGAACACCAGUGGCGAAGGCGACCACCUGGACUGAUACUGACACUGAGGUGCGAAAGCGUGGGGAGCAAACAGGAUUAGAUACCCCCGUAGUCCCUGUCUCUUAUAC